CUUGAACGCUGGCGGCAGGCUUAAAACAUGCAAGUCGAACGAGUGGCGGACGGGUGAGUAAUGAUUGGGAAUCUAGCUGAUGGAGGGGGAUAACUACGGGAAACUGUAGCUAAUACCGCGUACCAUAGGAUGAGCCCACGUGGGAUUAGGUAGUUGGUGAGGUAAAGGCUCACCAAGCCGACGAGCUCUAGCUGGUCUGAGAGGCUGAACAGCCAAACUGGGACUGAGGAACGGCCCAGACGCCUACGGGAGGCAGCAGUGGGGAAUAUUGCGCAAUGGGGGCAACCUGACGCAGCCAUGCGGCGUGAAUGAAGAAUGCCUUCGGGUUGUAAAGUUCUUUCGGUAGCGAGGCGUUAACUACAGAAGAAGCACCGGCUAACUCCGUGCCAGCAGCCGCGGUAAUUC
Molecule: ribosomal RNA, 405 nt
Filed under: uncultured bacterium
Lineage: Bacteria
Description: partial 16S ribosomal RNA
Rfam family: Bacterial small subunit ribosomal RNA
Source: RNAcentral